GCGGUGGAGGGAGCCGCCGGAGAAACGGCAGAGAGGGAGCGGACAAAGUCGGCGAUGAUGGAGCGCUGGGAGGCAGAGAAGCGGCCGUACCAUAGAAGGUGGACGGUCAGGUUACCGGUGAGGAGGGGACCGUUGUGAUACUGGAGGACUAGGGGCUGCUGCUGGACCAGGCUAAGCUUCCUUGGGUCGGCCAUGGAGUAGGGGAAGAGGAGGAGAGAGAGGAGGAGGAGAGUGAUAGGAAGAGAGAAAGCUUCCGAUCUACCCAUGGGAAGAGGGAGAGGGAGAGAGUGGGUUUCGGUGGCUGAUGCUUGGCUUGGCUUGAAAGGAGGAAGGGUAGGCAUUUAUAUCGUAAGAGAUGGAGGGUAUGGCUUGGGUGGGGGGNNNNNNNNNNNNNNNNNNNNAGAGAGAGAGAGAGGAACAGCUGGAAGCCACGAGGAUGAGAGCCACGUAGAUUUGACCCCCAGGGAUGGUAUAUUUUACAGCUGGGGUUGGACCGGAUGGUGGGUAUCGGGAAAGGAUGGUUCCAGGGGAGGGGCCGAGGGGGGGUGGCCCUUUUUGGAUCUGGUCACCGCACUGAAGUGGACUGCGUCUUUCUGGGGUACUCAAACCAUUGGAUCCAUUUGAGGCUGGACCCGGCUUGGGUAGAAAUUGGUUGUCCAAUGCCAUGCGCAAUGCCACACGGUCUGUGUGCAGGGCAUUCGUUGUUUUUGUGUGAAUCAACACAUCAUGGAGGCAUUAGAAUUAAUAAGGCCACUAGGAUUGGAUAUUCCUUCACAUGCCAUGUAACUUGUAAGUAGUUGAUUGUGAUGACGAUCAUUUGGAAUAUGAAUCAAUUUUUUUUUAGGUCAUAUCUAGAUCUUGAUCACGAGGCUUAAAAAUACAUGUUGAGAAGUUAUUAUAUGCUGAAUCUAUAAAGCACAUUAUCUAUUUGGAGAACGUCUAUAUAUAUUUGUGAUAUUUUCAAAUCAUAGUUAAGCAAAACUAGCACUCACAUUUAAUGUCAUAUAUACUCUUUUUUUAAAAAAAAAACAUUAUAAAUAGUAGUUCCAACAUCGGACCAAAUUACAUUAACUUAUCUUAAUCACAACAAAAGAUCCAAUUUUUCUUGAAAUAUUAAAUAAUAUUAUAAUCUCUUAUUAUAAAUACUUUUCGAGAAGUUAUUCAAAUGUAAAACUUAUCUAAGCCACGUUGAUUCGGAAAAUCAGCUUCUUGGCACAACCAAUUUUAUAUUGCAUUGCUAGGUAUGAUAACGGAAAAGCAAUAUUUUGAAUUGAUGGAGAAAAUAUAGAUAUUCCUGCAUGGUUCCAUGAUCUGGAUAUCAUUAAUUUGUCACUUGAACAUUUCCAUGAGCUACUCUCACGUCUUUGGAAAUGGAUCUGUUCCGGGUUGGUUAACCUACGUUUGGAUCCGGUCUGUAAAAUCUCUUGAAGUCUGGAGGUGACAGGAUUCACUCCUCCUCGAAGUACGAGAAAGAGGAAGCCAGCCCUUGCCCCGGGCUGGGGUGGUAGAAAUUGAUGACGUGAUAGGCAAGGAUAAAGAAAGCUGAGGUUUGUGAUAAGAACGUCAGUGCUGAAACUACCAGAAUAGCCCUCUUGAACUGACCUAUUCACACCGUUCUUUCCCUUGGCCGCAGACGCUAUUCCAUCGUAGAAGAAGAGAUAAAGAGACGUGGCAGCAACACCCCCGAAGGUGCUACAUUUCCGUCACCGUAUUUGUUAUCAUAACAGCUGGUUUUAUGGCCGUUUCCAUGGACGAGUGUUCGAAGAGAGCCGAGUUCAAACAUGUGACGCUUAGGACGUUUCCAAAGGGAGCUAAAGGUGGGCUGUGUCCGGUGAGACGCCGAGACUGUGGGUCGUAUUAUUGCGUCGACCGUUGAACACCCCAAUGGCCUGCUACUUUGAAUAAUUAGUGGUAUGGCGGUGACGUUGGUCAAAUAAAUAUCUACAGUACGAAUCUAUUCAAGUCCAUUGAAGGCUUAAUUUGUUCACAAUAAUGGUGGGGACCAAUUUGGUUCGAUCACGGAUUAGGAUUUAUAUGUCCAUCCAUAUGAUUUUAAUAGAUCAUUUAUUAUUAACAGCUUUAUUAGGAACCUAAGCCAUUUACCAAGUACUUAUUAUUAUACAUAUGAUGGCGGUGAAAUUUGGACAGACAUGAUCAUACUGCUUUAUUGAAGUAAUUUGAAGGUAGUAGCAUAGGCUAAUGAGUGAUGCAUCGCCGAUGGAGCAUCGAAACAAAUUAACAUAAAACCAACCAUAGAACUGUGUUGUACUGUUUUAGAUUUGGAUUGUUGAAGCCAAAUAUGCCAAGGUACAUUGCACUGAGAAGCUGAUACAUAGCACUAACAUAUGCUUGUUUACGAUGUAUAUUUAAAGCAAGGGUCAAAUAUAUUGCUAUGCACAACAAAUAGGAUUUUAUACAAGCCUCAAAUUGCCAUUUCCUUUAUUUUUUCUUCAACAGAAUGCAUCGUGCAAACAUAAAUUGGUGUCUCACUUCGCUAGAAGCAUCCAAGAUUUACCUUAAGCGCAAAAUGAUGAGAUACUUCAUUAUAAUCGGGAUGUCAUGGACUCAAAAUACAUAAAUAGUUUUUCCAUAUGAUAGAGCAAGACUACAUUUACUAUAAAAAAAAUAGCUUUUUUUUCGAGCACUAUUUUUUCUUACUAAAAGCCAAUUUUCAAAAAAAAAAUAUUUUCGAUGGUAUAUUACUGUCACAAGUCAUCAUAAAUAUCUCUGCUAUAAAAAGUUUUUUUUAGUAAUGGACAAUCGAUGAUGGUAUAUUUCUAACUAUUUAUAGUCAUCAAAAAAAAUAUUAACUACCAUGAUUAAUAUAUCAGCAAAUGAGAAAAAUGGAUGAGGAUUUUUUUUGCAACAACAAAAAUUUAUUGUAAAGGAGAUUAACAGCUAUCAAUAACGAUCUUUACCAAUUAUAUUUUGUUUGUUGCAAAUAAUUUGGAUUUCGUCAGUAUUUUAUUGCAAAAUAAGGAUAUAUUAUCAUUACUAAAUUAUUUAUGAUAAUUUUUUUAAUAAUGAUGACAUGUAUCCGUCAUUAAUAAAUUUUUUUAUCAUAAUAAAUAAAUAAUUUCGAUAUCAUUCAGACUCACUAAAGCUAUUUAUGAGAAGAUAUCUUUUGUGAUCAGUAUAUCAUAAAAGAAUAUUGCUAUUAGAAAAAUCAUUUGUGAUAAAAUUAAAUAUUUUAUUUUAUGAACUUUUGACUAUUGAAAAUAUGUUAUUUAUGAUAAUUUCUUAUUUUAUAAAAAAAAUUAUUAUUUUCAAUAAGAUACAUUAUCCUCAUAAUAAUAUUUAAAUAUAUAAUAUUGACAGCUUCUAAUGAUAUAUGUAAUAGUAUAGAAAUUUAACAUAUACAAAGAUACCAAUUAAAGAAGUAAUAAAAAUUUUAUCAUAUAAUAAUCUCAUAAAAGUAAUAAUUUUAUUAUCCACAUCCAUAUGUAAAAUUUAGCUACUCAAAAGAAAGGAACAAAAAAAAAAGUUAAUCAUCCUUUGAACCACUCUCGGAACGUCUUCAUCUUCAUCAUGCCUGUCAUCUUGAUUUUUAUUCACAUCGUUCUAUUAUGAAACAAGGAAUAAAGGAGUAAGAAUUUACUGUUUAGCAACUAUAUGAGCACUUAUUUAUUUUUUUAUUUCAAUCAAUUUAAAAAAAAUAUAAUUUGAUAUAAAUUUAUCAUAUCAUGUUAGAUGAGCAUGUAGUAAUUAUUUAGGAAGGUAUCUAUAGUGUAAUACCCAUAGACUACAAUAUCUCAAGUACAACUGAAGACAUCUUUUUAUUGAUCAAUACAGUAUAUCUAGUCUCUAAUUUCUCUAUGCAAUCAGUUAAUGCCUUUGUCUCUCUAGCAUGGUCCUUUUUAUAAUGCUUGUUGCAAUCUUGACUUGAAGAGAGGCCAAACAUAUCUCUUGCCUUCAAGCCUAUGCCCAUGCCAAGCACACAUGAUCAUGACUCGGUUCCCCAAUCACUUCUUAAUAUAUCUUCUAUUCAUAAUUAGGUGCAGAGAUUUUGAAUGUUGCAGCUAAUCUAAUUGAUGCCAUUUGCUCUUGAUAUUAAAAAAAAACAGAAUGUAUGAAAUAAAAGAUUAGGUAUUACAAUAUCCUAAUAGUGUAAAGAUAAACAUAACAUUCGUUUCUUACAUGCAUCUCCCUCACCUUGUUUGUAAACUAAGUUUUUUCAUCUUUUUUCACAUGAAAUGUCUUCCAACAGUCAAUGACACUAGGCUCAUGAUCAGUUUUCUUUAUGUAUAAAUAUUCAUAAAGUAUAUUAUAUUUUUAUAUAAAAAGGUCGAUGAUUAACCUUAGUGUUUCAUAAUUAAGCUUUUUUGAUUUUGUAUUUGUAGUUUGAUCGUAAAUAUGCCAUGCAUAGUAUUAUCUAUUGUUGGAUUGGUAUAUGCAUUAUAUAAAAUUAAGUAGCUUGAUUUGUAUAUAAUAUCUUCUGGACUCAAAAGAGUAUGUUAUCUAUACUUGAUGUAAAUUUUAGUAUAUGGCCUAUUUAUUUUUGCAUCAAUCACAAGGUUAUGCAUCUUGAACAAGAAACCUACAUAUUACUCCAUAUACAAAUGAACUUACAAAUUCAUGUAUUAAGAUAUGCUUAUGGAUUUCGGUUGUAUUCUUUGAGAAAUAGGAUAUUUAGGACACUGAAUAAAGAUGAACUAAUGCUUACCUUCUAAAAGAAUAUCGAACUUGAUGUUUCUUUUAAAAAAAAUAGUUGCAGAAGUUUGCCUCCAUGUAGGGAGAAUAAAGUUUAUGAUUAUUGAUAAAAUACUUGUAUAUUUGGGAAAAUAGAUAUUGAUAUAGAAAAAAAAAUUCAAAACGAAUAAAAUUAAAAAAUAAAGAAAUAUACUUAUAUUUGUCAUGCAUGGCACUGAAAAUUUAAUAUGACAAGACUUCUGUAAAUAUAUAAUUUUGCUUCUUUUGGUAUAAUAAGAUGAAAAAAAUACACAUGCUAAAUAUCAUUUGUUUUUAUCUUGACAUGCUUUCAGGUGCCAUGUAUGUAGUCAGAUUCUUCCUUCAUUCUAUCAAUUAAUUAAUGAACUAAAAAAAUAUAUUAUCAUACCUUCUUAGCUCUAUAUGUUGCCUUUGAAACUGAGCCUUUAGUUACUGCUAGUUCAAAUUUUGAUUUGUUAUCUUUAUUUCUCUCACUUUGAUGCUACAUAUAUCAUUUGUCCAUAACUAAUAUCAGUUGUAGGAACUCACUUUUCAAACAAAAAAAGGAUAUUUAGUUAAUAUGAUUCAUAAUAAAUAAAAAAUCUAUCAAUUCUUCUCAUUUUAUUUAUCCAUCAUUUAUUUCCAAACUGACAGAAAUAUAUUAUUCGGUGGGUGAUUAUAGCACUCCUCAGUAGUCAUUUACUUUUGAAGAAUAUCUUUUUUGAGAGUUCACAUCUAAUUAGAAUAGUUGGUCUUGACAUAUAAGUCAAAUGCUUUCUUUACUUCUUCCUCAAGAUAAAUAUAUAUAAAUCUAAUUUUUUGAAUCAUAAAAAUUAUCGAAGACUCAGUAAUAUUCUGGUGGAAAAGACUGCUAAUCUCAUAGCAUGCUACUCAUGUGAUUUUUCUAAAAUUAUAAUCAAUCGUGAUCAAUCGUGACAUAAUUGAGGUAAGCAUGUUCUAUUAAUAUCAAAAUUAUCAAACAUAUAGUUUCAAGUAAAAAUAGUAGAAGAUUCAUAUCAAAUAAUAAAAUUAAAUAUAAAACUAUAAGAUUAUACUAACCAUAUAAAAUGAAUUUCAAAUAAUUAUCUCUUAUAAAAAAUUUCUAUCUUUGUAUCAUGUCUUAGUUUAACUCAUUUACUUUUUUUCUUAUCUCUUUUUUUUUAUUAUGGAACAAGUUACCAGGACAAAUAACAUAAAUCGGAUAAUUAAGCAUUAUUCAUAAAUAAAAAUUAGCAAAUAAAGUAAAAUUUCAAGACAAAUAUUAUCCUGAUUGCUUGCAUCAACUGAAGGCUCGAAUUUUUAUAGAACUUUUGAGUAGCCAACAUGAUUAGAUUCACUAGCUUAUUAUCAUAGUUUAUCUAAUAAACAAAAUUGAGAUGUAGAUGAGAUACCAUCUUAUUAUUGUGCACUGCUAUUAGUCUUUUUCUUGUCUUUUUUUGCCCUUUACCUACUAUAAUAUGUAAUAAUAAUUAUUAUUUAAAUAAUAUUUUAAAUAAGCAACAAUUAUUAUAAGUAUACAUACUAGUUAUAUGUAAGUGUAAAUAGACAUAUCUAUGACUUUAAAUCACAAUUUGAACUAGAAUAUAAAUAAAUCAUGCAAGUUAAAGUCAAUCAAUUUUGUCUAAUAAACCAAGCAAGUCAAAAUCAUCCAAUUGUGUUUAAAUAAUUAACAAAAUAAAAUGAACAAAGUCAUCAUAUAAUCAUGUCAUCAAUUCUGCUCCUAUUCCAAUCUAGCUCAUCAUCUCCACCAUCAAUGUGGAUCGCUUGCGCAUUAUGUAUCUGAAUCUCCUCUUCUUGUUGUGGUUCCCCCUCUUCCAUAGGCAUCAUAAAAAAGUUUCUUGACUUGGUUUCAGCUAUUGAGCUCCAAGUGAGAUCUUUAGGUGAUCCAAUAUAAUAAACUUGAGUUGCUUGGGUUGCCAGCAUAAAAGAUUGUUGAGUGUUUAACCUGCGUGCUAUAUAAAUUAUAAUAAUUCUAUGACGAUCUCUCUUGUAUCUAAUUCCUUCUCUACUUAUACCAUACCAGUCGUAUUUAAAUAAUGCGACUUUGAUCCCUUCAGUAUAACGAAGUUUAAUAAUAUCAGUAAGACAUCCAUAAUAAAAAAUUUCAUCACUUUCAUAUUCUCCUCUAACUAUAACUUCACUAUUUUGACUUCUUUUACUUUUUUUACAUUGUUUUAUAUGAAAUCUAAAACCAUCAAUAUAGUAAUCUAUAUAGUACAAAGCUUGUCUUUUAGGAUCUUAAGUAAAAGUAACUAUAUCUCGAUUAAUCUAUUCACCUCCCCCUAUUAUGCAGCGCAAUAAUCUGUAAAAUACAUAAAAAAAAUUUGAUUCAAGACAUAUUGCAUAUAUUUCAUAUAAAUAAGUUAUAGUUUGUGUUACUUUAUUUUACACUUUCUUUAAACCAAUGGAUGAACUCGCAUCUAUGCAUCUCUUCUAUGUUAGCAGAAUCAAAGUUAGCUAGCAUAUUUUUAUAUUCCCUGUAAAAAAAAAACAUAAAAUUUGCCUUUCACACCAAUUAUUAAAGAACCACAUAUACAAGUAUUUUUUAAUAAAAUAUCUUAUUGUACAAAUGGCUCAGCCUUAUUGCAAUUGUAUAGGAUAUAAAGUGUAGCAGCAUUCCAUAGAUCGUCAUUCAAUUUGCACAUAUAUGCUUUUCCUAAAUGAUAAUUGGCUAUAAAAAAUACUGAAAGUCGAUAUGGGCCACUUGAAGAUGAAUUUCUAUCACCAUUUCUCUUAGAUCAAUUGAAUACUGUUUUCACUCCAUGCAAGUAUUAGGGGCAAAAUGUUAAACCCUCAUCUAUCAAAUAUCCUUCUGCAAUGGAUGCUUUUGGCGUUGGAUUGUUACAAACAAAGCCCUUUAACUUAUGCAGAUGUCUAAUUAGAAGAUAAUUUGUGUUAAACUUGAUUAACAUAUGUUCAAGCUUUUAAUUAAUAUAAGCAAUAAAUAGCAUCAUACAUUUUAAUUUUGUACAUUCAUCUAAAUUGCAUCGGACCAGUAACUAUAGCCUCCCAAGUUCAGGCAAUUUGACCUUUGAAUAAUUAGUGGUAUGGUGGCCAUGUUGGCCAAAUAAAUAUCUACAGUACAAAUCUAUUCAAGUCCAUUGGAGGCUUAAUUUGUUCAUAAUAAUGGUGAGGAUCGAUUUGGUUCAAUCACAAUUUAGGGUUUAUAUAUCCAUCCAUAUGAUUCUAGUAGAUCAUUUGUUAUUAGCAGCUCAAUUAGAAACACAAACCACUGAUCAAGCACUUAUUAUUAUACACAUGAUGGUGGUGAAUUUUGGACAGACGUGAUCAUGCUGUUUUAUUGAAGUAAUUUGAAGGUAGGAGCAUAGGCUAGUAAGUGAUGCAUCACUGUUGGAGCAUCGAAAUAAGGUUGCAUUUGGUGUAUUACAUAGGUAAUAUUGCUAUGGUAAUGUGAUUGUAGAAAAAAUAUAAUUACCUAAUAAAAUUACAGAGAAUCCUAUAUUGCAGUGUUUGGUAUGUGCGGUAAUGUAGUUGUAAAAUCACAGAAAAUCUUAUAUUAUAGUAUUUGAUAUACAAUUUAGAUUACAUAGAAUAUAAGCUAAUUUUUUUCAAAGUAGCCCCAUUCUUGCUUAUUGAUUAUUAUCUAUUUUCUAGAGGAAUAAUUUAAUUUUGAGACCAACUAUUUUUCGUGAUAUCAUCCAUUAUGUUUUCUUUUCUAUUUUCACCAACUAAGACUAUCCAUAAUUUAUUUUGAUGGAGGUAUUUUGAUCCUGAAGUUAUCUUGUUAUAGGAUUGCAGGAUUGUAAGAUUAUAUAUAAUCACAUAGCCAUUUUCCCCCAGACAAUCAGAUUAUCUCUUUUUGAGGUAAUGCUGUAUUAUAUGUAAUAUAGCAUUACCUAUAUAAUACAGCAUUACCUGUGAAUAUAAUGAAACAAACAGUAUAAUUUGAUUACUUAUUAUAAAAUUAUAUGUAAUCCUGUCAGGAUUAUAUGCUACCAAACACCUUCUUAAAUUAGUAUAAAACAAACCAUAAAACUAUUUUGCAUCGAUCUAGAUUUGGAGUUUUGAAGCCAACUAUGUCAAUGUACAUUGCACUUAGAGACUGAUACAUUGCACAAACAUAUGCUUGUUUAUGAUGUAUAUUUGUUGAAAGGAUCAAGCGUAUUGUUACACACAACAAACAGGGUUCUAUAUAAGCAUCAAAUUGCCAUUCCAUUUUUUUUCUUCAAUGGAAUGCAUAUUGCAUAUAUAAAUUUAUGUCUCACUUUGCUAGAAGCAUGCAAGCUUUACCUUAAGCACACAAUGGUGAGAUUACUUCAUAUAUAGCAUGGAUGUUAUGGACUCAAAAUACAAAAAUAGCCUAUUCAUAUGAUAGAGUAAGAAUAGAUUAAUAUGAUCCUCCCCAAAUCCUACAAUAAUAGGAGCCUUGUAUAUUAAGUACCUUUUUCUAAAGGCAUGAUAUCUAGAAUUUAUAGAUAUCUUCAUUUGUAGCAUUUACUUUGAAAGUCGAAAGAGUUCCAUACUAUUGUUAUGCCAAACUUUGAUGAGUAUUUUCAUCCUAUAUAUAUAUAUAUAGGGAGCAUAUCAAGUGAGAGGAUUGGUUUAAUGUGAGAGGUGAGAAGUUAUAAUAAUAAUCAUUGGAUCUGCAUCAACGGUUCAGAUGAGCGCCGCACGCGCGUUAAAAAAAUUUGAAAAAAAAAGAAUAGAUAAUUCCUAAAGGUAUUUAGACAGUUUGGAUAACCGCAUUCUCAUCUGAAUCGUUCAUGUGGAUCCAAAGAUUAUUAUUAUGUCCUCUCACUUCUUACAUUAAGCUACUUCUCUCACUUGAUAUGCUUCAUACACACACACACAUAUAUAUACAUACAUACAUACAUACAUACAUACAUACAUACAUACAUACAUACAUACAUACAUAUAUAUAUGUAUGUAUGUGUGUGUGUCUAUACACACAGAGAGAGAGAGAGAGAGAGACACACACACAUAUAUAUAUAUAUAUAUAUGGGACCAUAAGAUUUUAUUAAGCUCUUGGAAUGAAGAUAAAGUUACAAACAGGGACAACGAGUUCUAAAUAAAAUUAAAAAACAAAGAAAUAAGAAUUUCUCUAAUUUAGAAGAUAGGUUGUCUUCACAAAUCAAGGACCAAUCGUGCCAAGUAUGAACUAUUGAUCUUCUUAUAUGCAGAGACAGGACCUUGUGUCCUCAUAUCUCAGGCCAAACUAGAUAUUUUGAAGAUUUGCUUCCUUCUCCAAAUAGCCCAAAAUGAGCUUAAAAAAGGUGCUCUGACCCUCCAUUUGAUUCUUUGGCUCAAAAUACUUCAAAAUUUAUAUUGAAUAAGACAUAAUAAAAAUAAGUGAUCCGUAGCUUGCUCAUAAGCAUGACAUAACACCCAUGAAAAAAAAAUCGUUAGGUUCCCUUUUAAUGGGUGUUAUGUCAUGCUUACGAGAGAGCUGCUUGUCACUUAUUUUUAUUUUUUCCAAAUUAUAAAUUACAUUGUCGUCAAAAUCCUCCCUUAGCAGCCAAGAAAUGAAAUAUUUUGACCUUUUUAAGAAUGCAAAUAUUUCAAAUGGCAUUGAAACUCUUGUCAAUUUGCUACUUCAUUAUGAUAUUAGCUUGGACAUGCAUCAUACCUUAAUUUCUCUUAUGGAGCACAUCAUCCAUCAUACAACAUUACUCAAAAAGUUUAUCGCCAUCAAUUAAAAUUCUAGUAAUAUCACAAAGUAUAACCGCACACGGAUGGCCUCAACAUAAAUUAUAUUUAAGGAAUGCUUCAUGUUCAUGCUGUAGAUGAACAUGUACACUCACAAUUUUUUCAUGCUGCUCACUUGUUCCACAGUUUAAUAUGAAAGCAACUAAUUAGUUGAAAAGGUCUAAUGCGCCAAGGUGGAAUUAUUUACUUUCAAUUGCAACACUCAUUAUUUCCACACUUCUGUCCCCAACUAGCUCAAUUCUCUCCUCCCUCCCUCACCUUGUAAUGAUCAAUACAGAGCACCUUUGGAGAAAGCGAAUCUAUCUAUAUGUGUGUGUAUAUAUAUAUAUAUUAUCAAUUGCUUGAAACUAAAACGUGACGCCAACUUUUUUUGGGAGCAUAGCAAAACCAAAGUUAUGGUUGUAUCAGAAGAAGGGCCCCGAAAAAAAAAAAAAGCCAUGGAAUGAUACUACCAGCGCACUGAAAACAAUGGACCACGGACAGUAACUUGACAAAUGUGUCCGAACAAAUUAAAACGUGGGAGAGCGGAGAAUCUGGGUGUCCUUUGUCGAGAAAUUUUAUCUCAGCCGGCGUGCUUCAUGUGCCUGGGAACGCCAUCAAUCAUAACCGUUCAUUUUUAUAAAUUCUAUUCAUCGAAUGCUCAUCCAGAGGCAUCAUUACAUUACUAAACAAGCUGUAAUUGGCUAUCCGUACAAUCGUGUGGUGCAACCGUGUAGAAUAUAAUUUUUUAUACAUACUUUAUCCCGCAUAUAUAUAUCUUAGGAUACAAUCAGAACUUUCGUUUGUAGUAGCGAUGGAUACCGCACGGUCCUUUGCGUGGUAGACCCACAUCACAUUAAAUGAGCCCAGCCGACACUUGGAUGCCAAAAUAAGAAUUAAACGUAUUUUUGAAAUUAUUAAAAAAAAAGCCUCCUUUAUCUUCUUCUUUGGGACGUCUCCUUUUUGGACUCGAAGCACCCUCCUGACCCCUUUCCUUGUUUAAUUAUUACCCUUAAACCAAUUUAAUCGGUCACAGCAUCUUCCCACUCGGACCCCGACACCAUUAAGGCGGAUCCCACAGAUCUAAUCGUUAUUAACGGCGAUAAAUUUAUACACAUCGCAGUCACGCGUGCAAGACUCGCACACAGUUGUAAAGGUGAUGGAGUGGAGACAUGGAGCGGGUCAAAGCAUGGGUGCUCGCUAGAGGACGAGGAAACAAAGGGAUGGAUGGAUGUUCUCGCACGUGCGAGGAGAUGGCGUCGCAGGUUGUGGUCCGAGUUUAUCCUGAUUUUUUAAGGGAGAAAGGGACGAGGCAGGAGAGGUGGGAGGCAGCGCACCUCCCGGCACGGUGGCCGACGUUCUCUGGGCGACACGUGUGUGGCGACGGCUUGGCGGAGGGGUGGAUAAGAAUAGGAGGAGAGAGGAAAAAUUUUAUGCCACGUGUUUUGCAUGGAGGCUGGUCUUCAGCGAUUUGACACCGGAUGUGGGAGUCUCCAGGUAGGCAUUAAUCUGGCAGAGGGAGCAUGGCUCCUUGGUCGUCUACAGCGCAUGCAACACUGAUAAUAUCCUGUGGCAUGUGGCCUUUAGCGCGUCCAGCCUUACUGUGAUAGCGAAUCCUCUAGAAUUGGAUAUGAUGGAUUGGUUCUCUCUCUCUUUUGUUUACACUAUGAAAUUUGAUAUUUGGAGGAAUUGUUAAUGAGCCUUAAUUUACCAUUUCUUUUCUCUUAAACAAAUUAAUGCUAAGUGGCUGAAUGAUUAAGAAGGAACAAAGCUUGUAGUUGCACACUGAUGUCCCAACAAUCCCAUCUUAUAUGAACACAAGCAGUGAGAAUUUUCUGUUGCUAUAUUUGUCAUAGAGAAAAAAAAAAUUAUUGCUGAGGUUGUGAAAUAUUCAAGUUCACUUUUAUUUGCUAUACAUUGUGAUAUUGUCCUGCAUAUUUGCUAGGUUGUAGAAUGGUGCUAUAUCAAUCACUCUAUACUUGGUUUAGAAAGUUAAUUUUUGUAUAAUGGUAUAUAGGCUGAGUAAAAAAGGACUGAUUAGAGUUCUUAGCUUUAUUUAGAGGAGAAAUAUAUAUAAAGUGAUCAAGAAGAAGUAGGACUAAUGGGAGGACAUUGAUCUCAUGAUUAUUGAAUUACAUACAUGCAACAUUCAAACAUGAAGAAUUUAUGCCUUUAUAUCUUACUGGUAGCAGCUUGAAGCUUACUCUGAAUGAUCAGUAGUAGAAUUUACACUGUUGGGGAAGGCCUAAAGCUGCUUCAGAAUGAAACCAUGAAAGACCGGGGAAAGGCCUAAUGCUUGCAUUCACUUUCAAUCGUUGAAAAUUUAAUGUAGCUUCUCUUUUAUUGUUUGAUGGAUUCUAUGUGGCUCUGAUGGACUCUGAGGAUAAUAACAUGAUAGUUGAUGGAGUCCUUAGUUAUUGAGCAUAUCGAAGACAUUGGUCAUUGAAAUCUUUGGUAUAACGAGGCCUUGUUGCUAGCAAAGAAAAAGGCAGCUGAACAUCCCUUUCUAUAUCUUUUUUCUUAGCAUCUAGAUUUCCUAGGCUUUAGGUUUUAAAAUCAAUAAUUGCUUUCAAAUAUCUAGGUUUUAGAUCUAAUUUCCUUGCAUCAUUGCUUUGUCUUCUAUUAGGUAACUGUGAAGCUGGUGCUAGACCCUUCAGCAUGCAUCAUGCACUUUUGUAGUUUAAUGGCCACAAACGCCGGGUGUUGUUCCGUGUAAACAAAAAAUAUUGACUCAAUAGAUACAACCACCACUUUGUUCAAAAACAUUACAACACAUAUAACACUGAUUGCAAGCAAGUGAAUUAUUGAGUUAAUCUAUGCUUUAAGAAAAGUUUUAAAAAGAAUCUUUCAAUACAUCAAAAGGAAUUACCAAUGACAUCUUUUAUUUUAUAUUCAUCUGAGUUUUAAAGUGCACUUUAAUAAAUAAUAUUGAAAAUUGUCUGCUUAAUGUUGUCCAUGAAAGAUAGUAUAUAGGCUUUGUCAUACGUUAAUUUAUAUACUCCUGUCCCUUCUAUUACACUCUCAAUAUGCAGCCAAAAUGAUUUUUAUUCCAAGCACUUUAUAGAGCUCCUCUAAUCCAAAGCAACCAAAUCGAAGAGUUAUCCAGAGGCAUGAGAUCGUUUACCGUACACGCCAUAUUUUAUGGUCUUUCCAAAUAAUCCUUCUAGGAGCAUCACAAGCAAUAGAUUGAUGAGCAUCGUAGCUAAUAUUAUUCCUUAGAGGAUGCUCACGGCUAAAGAAAUUUUUAAAAAAAUUAGAAUAAAAGAUCUUUUAUAUUUUUUUAGAAAAUUAAUUAAUGGGAAUUGAGAAUUAGAACAAUUACAAGAACUUUCAUCCAUCAUGCCGGUUUCAAAAAUAAAAUAUUUGCCCAAACAUCUCCAAGAAGUCUCAAAGGGAGAUCUUAAAAUCACCUGGCAGGUAGAUUCACAAUUGAAAUUGUAAAACUGGCACCUCUACAAUAUUUAACAAAUUCGUGGUCCAAAUAAAAAUUAAUAUUCCUGACCAGGAAAACAUUACAAUCAUACAUCAUUCUUCUAGCCCCCCUUGGGUUAUUGGGGCCAACAUCCUUAUUCUGCUUGCAUUUAUAUAACAAUCAUUAUGUGAAAAAUAAAUAGGAGUACAUAAGAGAACAUCUAAAACUUCCAUCUCUAUACGAGGGUGGAACACUGAGACGUCUUAGGGUCCCACAUCGCCGGCAGCAAAUACUUCCUCCCAUCCAAUCCCCUCGCGUUGUAACUGGCCCCACUGGUUUGAUCCACCAGGACCCGGCCGGGAUAUCCGGGAUAAGCCCCGCUUCCGAAUAUCCCGGUACAAGCGGAUACCGCCUCCAACGGCGCAUCCGCCGGCCCCUGGAAGUAGCCGUUACCGUCAGGAUUAGUCACCGCUCCGGCCAACAAGGUGGCGAGGUUAAUGACGACGCCGUCCAUGCCGACGUCGCUGUUAGGCGCGACUAACGGCGGGGUUUGGGGGCCGUAGACCGGCUGGUGGAACGGCCAGGCACACUGACCCGGGCACUGGACCUCCGAGUCGCCGGUCCAGAUGAACCCGGCCGAGCCGGCGAGCGGGCCGUGGGUCCCGCAUCGGCUCGAGCAGAAGCCGUCGACAGCAACAUCAACGGAGGUGAGGACUACGUUGAUGUUGGUGGGGGAGGCGCCAGGUUUAGAGGCUAAGAGGGAGAGUUGGGAGGGAGAGAGGGAUUUGCCGACGGAGUAGUGAUCGUCGAGGAGCUGGCGGCCAAGGAAGAGACGGGGGGCGGAGCCGCCGUAGAGGGCGGUGGUGUGCCACCAGGAGGCGGCAGAGGGGGGUGGCGGCGGAGAAGCCGCCGAGAGGGAGAGGAGGAAGUCGGCGAUGAUGGAACGCUGGGUGGCGGAGAAGCGGCCGUACCAGAGGAGGUUGAUGGUGAGGUUACCGGUGAGGAGGGGGCCUUUGUGGUACUUAAGGACUAGGGGCUGCUGCUGGACCUGAAUAAGCUUUCUGGGGGCAGCUGCGGAGGAGUGGAACAAGAGGAGGAGAGAGAGG
RNAcentral lists this long non-coding RNA (14811 nucleotides) under Elaeis guineensis (African oil palm). RNAcentral describes it as "long non-coding RNA (EGUI_LNC026664)". The record is from RNAcentral. Lineage: Eukaryota; Viridiplantae; Streptophyta; Magnoliopsida; Arecales; Arecaceae.